UCCCAUUCACAGGUUGCUCUGGGCUAAAUUGUGUCCUCUAAAUCCAUAUGUUGGAGCCCUGACCCCAGGACCUUGGCACAUGCCGGGAUUUGGAGAUGGGUCUUUAAGGAGGGGAUGGAGGUGAAAUGAGGACAUGAGGGCGGGUCCUGAUGCAACAGGACUGGGAUCCUGAUGAGAAGAGGAGAUGAGGACACAGACACGCACAGAGGGACGACCACGUGAGGACACGGGGAGAAGAUGCGUCUACACACCAAGGAGGGAGGCCUCAGGAGGAUCCAGCCCUGCCCACACCUGGCUCUCGGACGUCCAGCCUCCAGGACUUGAGACCAUCAGGGGUUUGAGCGGCCGCGUCUGGGGUCCUUUGUUGUGGCAAAUUAACACCAACAGUAAAAGAGACUUCGCAGACGUUAUUAGAUCUGGGUUCUUGCGGUGGGGAGACCGUCCUGAGGAGGUGGGGAAGCCCAAUGUCAUCGCAAAGCUCCUUCAUGAGGGAGACCUGAGGACAGAAGGGGAGACGGGCACGAGAUGACAGAAGCAGAGGUUGGAGCAACGAGCUGUGAACACAGAGGGGGCAGCCAGGAGCCCAGGAACACAGGGGCCUCCAGCAGCUGGAACGGGCGAGUGACGGGACCCCCCGCUGGAGCCCCCGAAGGACCCAGCCCCCCGACAGCUUGACUUUACCCCACAGAGUCCGACUUUGGACUUCUGACCCCAGAAGUGCUGGAGAACACAUGUUGUUUGAAGCCCCUGAGUUUGUGUCCAUGAGUCCCAGGCAUGAACGCACCCUCUGAGGUCCCAGUACUGCCCUCACGGCCGUCUAGACGCUCAUGCCCGAAACUGAUCUUCCUCUUCACUGCCCCCGACUUACUGGGUCAUUUCAUUCCCUGGCUUGGAAACCUUCAACGGCUCUGCAUUUUAUGAGUCAGUCAGUGAACAGUGUGCAACAACCAUCUCCAAACGCAGCGGCCUCCUGAUUUCGUUUACCAUGCACACGGGAAACUCGGAACAUGUUUGCCCGACACGGAUGCCCUCGCAAUAGAAACUCACACCGUCUUCCAAACCAGCUGCCUCUGCUGUGUGUGUCUGCCAUGCACCCUGCUUUCCAGCAUUAAUCAUCCUUAAAAUCUCGGCUUCAACGGCACGGUCUCUACGAGGUGAUGCUCCCUCCCUCGGUCUGUCAUUUCUUCCUAUAUUUGUCGCUCUAUCACAAACCUUCCACAUCGGACUGUGUAACCGCACUUUGAAUUACUGAAUUAUCUAAUUAUCUAAUUGCCCUCUCCCACCCCAUUAGACCAGGAAAUCUUUGAGAUCGCGACCUGCCUGUUAUUUAUCUAUGUCCCCGGGCUUGUAACGCACACUCAGAAGACCCAAUAGCCACCAGUUUAAUUACGCUGCAUUCCAGCACAAUAAAUAAAUUCUAGGUCGAUUAAAAGAGACUGAUCGAGACGGGCAAGCGGAUUGCGAGAAGUCACAGGUCAUCACAAGCGUUCGGCCCAAAGCUGUACAAAAACAAUAAGAAGCAGACCCAGAACCUACAAAGGGGCAGAAUUUCGUGGACGGGGACCACACAGACCCACGACCUCUGACCUCCGGAGCCCCCACAAGCCAGCGAUUAAAACUGGGCUAUCGAACCAAGAAAAUAAGCCACGUCCGAAAACGUUCAUCAUA
Molecule: long non-coding RNA, 1668 nt
Organism: Equus caballus (horse)
Lineage: Eukaryota; Metazoa; Chordata; Mammalia; Perissodactyla; Equidae
Source: Ensembl